RNAcentral lists this ribosomal RNA (491 nucleotides) under uncultured bacterium. Its description in RNAcentral is "partial 16S ribosomal RNA". It matches the Rfam family "Bacterial small subunit ribosomal RNA", at positions 29 to 506 of the family's 1533-position model. The record is from RNAcentral.
AGUGAACGCUGGCGGUAGGCCUAACACAUGCAAGUCGAACGGCAGCACAGUAAGAGCUUGCUCUUACAGGUGGCGAGUGGCGGACGGGUGAGGAAUACAUCGGAAUCUACUUUUUCGUGGGGGAUAACGUAGGGAAACUUACGCUAAUACCGCAUACGACCUACGGGUGAAAGCAGGGGAUCUUCGGACCUUGCGCGAUUGAAUGAGCCGAUGUCGGAUUAGCUAGUUGGCGGGGUAAAGGCCCACCAAGGCGACGAUCCGUAGCUGGUCUGAGAGGAUGAUCAGCCACACUGGAACUGAGACACGGUCCAGACUCCUACGGGAGGCAGCAGUGGGGAAUAUUGGACAAUGGGCGCAAGCCUGAUCCAGCCAUACCGCGUGGGUGAAGAAGGCCUUCGGGUUGUAAAGCCCUUUUGUUGGGAAAGAGAAGCAGCAGGUUAAUACCCCGCUGUUCUGACGGUACCCAAAGAAUAAGCACCGGCUAACUUCGU